This 27-nucleotide small RNA is filed under the name Bombyx mori (domestic silkworm). Its description in RNAcentral is "ovarian small RNA-36847". The record is from RNAcentral. Lineage: Eukaryota; Metazoa; Arthropoda; Insecta; Lepidoptera; Bombycidae.
UUAUGAAUACAAGAGAAAGUUGUUGGA